ACCGACCCUUCGGGAGCUUGCACAGGUGCUGCAUGGCUGUCGUCAGCUCGUGUCGUGAGAUGUUCGGUUAAGUCCGCUAACGAGCGCAACCCUCGCUGUGUGUUACAAGUGUCACACGUACGUCGCCGGUCUUAAGCCGGAGGAAGGUGGGGAUGACGUCAAGUCAGCAUGGCCUUUAUGUCCUGGGCUACACACACGCUACAAUGGCCAACACAAUAGGUUGCUAAGCCGCGAGGUGGAGCCAAUCCUCAAAGUUGGUCUCAGUUCAGAUUGCAGGCUGCAACCCGCCUGCAUGAAGUCGGAAUCGCUAGUAAUCGCAGGUCAGCAUACUGCGGUGAAUACGUUCCCGGGCCUU
Molecule: ribosomal RNA, 355 nt
Filed under: uncultured Leptolinea sp.
Lineage: Bacteria; Bacillati; Chloroflexota; Anaerolineae; Anaerolineales; Anaerolineaceae
Description: bacterial SSU rRNA
Rfam family: Bacterial small subunit ribosomal RNA
Source: RNAcentral